AGAGUUUGAUCCUGGCUCAGAUUGAACGCUGGCGGCAUGCCUUACACAUGCAAGUCGAACGGCAGCACGGGGGCAACCCUGGUGGCGAGUGGCGAACGGGUGAGUAAUAUAUCGGAACGUGCCCUGGAGUGGGGGAUAACUAGUCGAAAGAUUAGCUAAUACCGCAUACGAUCUACGGAUGAAAGUGGGGGACCCGCAAGGGCCUCAUGCUCCUGGAGCGGCCGAUAUCUGAUUAGCUAGUUGGUGAGGUAAAGGCUCACCAAGGCAUCGAUCAGUAGCUGGUCUGAGAGGACGACCAGCCACACUGGGACUGAGACACGGCCCAGACUCCUACGGGAGGCAGCAGUGGGGAAUUUUGGACAAUGGGCGCAAGCCUGAUCCAGCAAUGCCGCGUGAGUGAAGAAGGCCCUUCGGGUUGUAAAGCUCUUUUUGUCAGGGAAGAAACGGUGAGGGCGAAUACCCCCUUGCUAAUGACGGUACCCUGAAGAAUAAGCACCGGCUAACUACGUGCCAGCAGCCGCGGGUAAUACGUAAGGGUGCAAGCGUUAAUCGGAAUUACUUGGGG
This 565-nucleotide ribosomal RNA is filed under the name uncultured Glaciimonas sp. RNAcentral's name for it is "bacterial SSU rRNA". It matches the Rfam family "Bacterial small subunit ribosomal RNA", at positions 8 to 560 of the family's 1533-position model. Lineage: Bacteria; Pseudomonadati; Pseudomonadota; Betaproteobacteria; Burkholderiales; Oxalobacteraceae. The record is from RNAcentral.